RNAcentral lists this ribosomal RNA (294 nucleotides) under Triticum aestivum (bread wheat). RNAcentral's name for it is "partial small subunit ribosomal RNA". The record is from RNAcentral. Lineage: Eukaryota; Viridiplantae; Streptophyta; Magnoliopsida; Poales; Poaceae.
AUUCUAUGUUGGAACGUACGUGGGCUUAAUUGUCCAGAUCGGCGUGCUGCUGUUCAUGAGACCAUUGCUGCCUCCUCUUGCCAUCUAGUUUGCAUACAAGAAUCGAAGUUGCAGACCGUUGAUCCCAUUGUCGCCUCUUAUCUGGGUGGUCAGCGCCUCAAGAGUUUUGCCCAAAGACCGGCCGAUGGCACUAAAGGGGGCAUCCUGCUUCUAUGGGAUAAUGAUGUUGUUACCAUAACCAAUGUAGAAAUUGGAGCGUAUUUCCUCUCUGCAACCGUGAAUCUCAACAACUCC